GACGAACGCUAGCGGCGUGCUUAACACAUGCAAGUCGAACGAGAAGGCCCUGCUUUUGUGGGGUGCACGAGUGGCGAACGGGUGAGUAACACGUGAGUAACCUGCCCUUGACUUUGGGAUAACUUCAGGAAACUGGGGCUAAUACCGGAUAGACACUCCUGCGGCAUAUUGGGGGUUGGAAAGUUUCGGCGGUUGGGGAGGGACUCGCGGCUUAUAAGCUUGUUGGUGGGGUAGUGGCUUACAAAGGCUUUGACGGGUAGCCGGCCUGAGAGGGGAACCGGCCACAUGAGGACUGAGCUACGGCCGAGACUCGUACGGGAGGCAGCAGUGGGGAAUAUAGCACGAUGGGGCGAAGCCGGAUGCAGCAACGCCGCGUGCGGGAUGAUGGCCUUCGGGUAGUAAACCGCUUUCGCCUGUGACGAAGCGUGAGUGACGGUAAUGGGUAAAGAAGCACCGGCUAACUACGUG
This 468-nucleotide ribosomal RNA is filed under the name uncultured bacterium. RNAcentral describes it as "partial 16S ribosomal RNA". It matches the Rfam family "Bacterial small subunit ribosomal RNA", at positions 28 to 507 of the family's 1533-position model. The record is from RNAcentral.